UGAAACUCUGGCCAGCACAACACACU
This 26-nucleotide non-coding RNA is filed under the name Mus musculus (house mouse). The record is from RNAcentral. Lineage: Eukaryota; Metazoa; Chordata; Mammalia; Rodentia; Muridae.